UCUCACUAACCCUAGCUGCGCCAAUCUUUUCCCUUUUCCCUCUCAGUCUCUACUGUUCUCGCACUCUCGCAUCAGCGAAUCCUCCAUGGACGCGUCAAACAGGAACAUCGACCGUCUCGAGAACCGCUUCAGGCUUCGGCGACGCUUCUUCUUCGAGCGAGAGAAAGAGUGGCGGCAGUGGUGUUUGGGGUUUGGGUUUCGAACGACUGUGGUGAUGGCUAUUUGGGUGAUGGUGGUGUGAAUGGAGGAGCGAUUUGGGUGAUGGUGGUGCGAAUGGAGGAGGGGAAGUGGAGCCCAGCUUCAGAUUGAGAAGGGAAAGUGGUUGUGGUGGCGUUUAGGGAGAGGAAGAGUGGCGGCAGUGGUGUUUGGGGUUUGGGUUUCGAAGGUCAAUGGUGAUUUGGGGGUUUGAAGGUCAGUGAAGAGGGUUUGAGGAGAGGAUACAGGAAGGAGGAGACAGAAUGGGUGUGGGUUUGAAGAUCUGGGUUCUUAAAUUUGGGUUUUUCAGAGUGAGGGAACCCUAGUCCGCGCCGUCUCUCUUCAUCGAGCCCUGGUUCCGUGCAGCCAUCACCGCGUCUCUGAGAACCCUAGUUUCUUUUGCUGUUUCAUGUGCUUUUGUAAUUUACGAAAUCCUGGUGUUGUCUGCUCUCAACCUAUACAGAUUUGUAUUGAUGACAGAAUCUUCAGGAAAGACAAACUGCACUGGUGUCCUAUCAAGGAACACUUUGUUGAAGGCCUUCAAUGAAUGGUUGCUUCCUUUGCGGACCUUAGUGACAGGUAUAUUGGCAGAGAACAAGAAUGAUUAUGAUCAGCUUGCAGUUGACACUUUAUGCACAAUAAAUCCACUUUAGUUGGUGUUGUACCGGUGCAUUGAGCUUGUAGAAGAUAAGAUAAAGGAAGCCACAUAGGCUAUCCUACUGGCCAAAACUUUUAUCGCUUGCUUCUUUUCAGUAUCCCGUAAUUUAUGAUUCUGCUUUUACUAUUUAUUGCUUGCUUCUUUUCUAUCGAGAUAGUUUCUUUGAUUCUCUCACUGGAUUGGAUUUAAGAGAUAAUGACAAUAGGAUCAUAAUCAAGUUUAUGAUAAUCACCCGUUGAAGCUGCUUGUAAAGGGUUUCCUGCAGACAGAGUCAUGGAAUAAAAGGUCUAGGAACUGCUUUGGCUCUUAUGAAGCAGUAGCAUGGUGCGAACAUGCUUUUGGUGCGAACCGGCCAGUGUUUCCUCCUCAAUGGUUUCAUUUUCUUAGGAAGGGAAGCCCUUACUUGGUACUCUACUAGAUGCAUAUAGAAGUAGCUUGCAAAAUUUAAGGGAAGGAUUUCAACUCUUUUAAUAUCUUAUCUCAGGCUCAACCUGAAAUUUCACCUUCACUCUACUUGUUUUGUAUAUGUUUCAGGGAAGCCCUUACUUGGUACUCUACUAAAUUCAGUCACAUCUUUUGGUUUCUAAUUAGAAGAAAUUCAGUUACAUCUUGAUUAGAAAGACUAAAUUGCAUCCACUCAUCUUGAUUGAAGAAGGAUAUAUAACAAACUGGCUUUGAAGCUUCUUAUAUGAAGAGGUGAGUUUUUAACUGGCUUGAAGCUUCUUAUAUGAAGAGGUGGUUUUUUGUCUACUUCAUUGCAUUCUCAUAUUUGGCCAGGACUUUCCAUGAUAUUGGCCCUAGAGUAGUUUUUAUAGCUCACUUGAGAGAGUAUGUUCUCAAGAACAAUUAGUUAUUAAUAUUAUUAGUAUUGUUUUGGACAAAUUAGUGAAGUGGGUUCAGUAUUGUUAUUCUCUUGGCUGGAAUAUUUGAAUGUAGGUUCUCUUGGCUGUAAUAUGUGAAUGUUGUUGUUCUCAACAUGUGAUUUUUUGCAAGUUUA
Long non-coding RNA from Lotus japonicus, 1850 nucleotides. RefSeq lists it as uncharacterized. The record is from RefSeq and is a predicted model, not a curated record. Lineage: Eukaryota; Viridiplantae; Streptophyta; Magnoliopsida; Fabales; Fabaceae. The transcript is spliced from 6 exons.